AUCUUGCAUUGCCGAACUUGAAGUAUAAUAAUGAUUGGCUUCUAUGACUAUUACAUGCCAUUAUAUUGUUGUUUCAUUUCAUAAUUCAAUUUUAAAAUAAAGAAUGUUGAAUUGUGCAUGCUGAAUUUUUAUUUGGUACAUGAGCAAAAUGUGAUUACGGAAUAGAAUAUUUCAGCGUCAGUUUGUUUCCGGAGAAUUCAUAUUUUUUUUUCCAGUGAGAAGCAUUGUUAAUUGAUGUCAUGAUCCUUGGUGAUUUCUCCUUCAGCAUAUGUAAUUUUAAGAGAUCAUACUUUUGGAUGGACUAUACACAAGUCUAAAUUAAGCAUUUUGUUAAAUCUGUAAUUUUUAUGCUACUUCCUCUACUAUUUUUCUCAGGGAAGUUUCUAUGCACCAUAUAUCUACCCAUAUAUCUGUAGCAUAUUAACAGAUCUGUAAACCAUGGAUGGUGAUGUUCACUUGCACAGGAAAAGUAGCGGAAAGUAUCUUUAUGGAUGUGGCCUCAAAGAACAUGAGGAAGUUUCUAUGCACCAUAUAUCUUCCCAUAUAUCUGUAGCAUAUUAACAGAUCUGUAAACCAUGGAUGGUGAUGUUCACUUGCACAGGAAAAGUAGCGGAAAGUAUCUUUAUGGAUGUGGGCUUGAAGAACAUGAGGAAGUUUCUAUGCACCAUAUAUCUUCCCAUAUAUCUGUAGCAUAUUAACAGAUCUGUAAACCAUGGAUGGUGAUGUUCACUUGCACAGGAAAAGUAGCGGAAAGUAUCUUUAUGGAUGUGGGCUUGAAGAACAUGAGUAAGCUCUAUUAUUACUCCUUUUCUUUUUCUAUCCAUGGUGUUGAUAGAUAUCUAAAGUCAUUUUAUUGGUAUGAAUGAUACCCAUCAUCUUCUAUCCUAAUUAAUUAAUAUUGUUCUUUAAUAUUACAAUGUCAGUAAUAAGUUCUCUUAUCCUUUGACAUUUGAAUGAAAUGUAAUAUUGAAAUUUACUAACCAAUAAUAAUUUAGAAUUAAUUACAAAAAAAUUAUAAUUCAGAGAUAAAGUUUUUGAAGCUAAAUAUUUAAUGAAUAUACAUA
Molecule: long non-coding RNA, 1064 nt
Organism: Lycium barbarum (goji berry)
Lineage: Eukaryota; Viridiplantae; Streptophyta; Magnoliopsida; Solanales; Solanaceae
Exons: 3
Source: RefSeq, a predicted model, not a curated record